This 327-nucleotide ribosomal RNA is filed under the name uncultured eukaryote. RNAcentral describes it as "partial 18S ribosomal RNA". It matches the Rfam family "Eukaryotic small subunit ribosomal RNA", at positions 1470 to 1796 of the family's 1831-position model. The record is from RNAcentral.
CCCUUAGAUGUUCUGGGCCGCACGCGCGCUACACUGAUUCAUGCAACGAGUUUUGUCCUUGGCUGAAAGGCCUGGGUAAUCUUUGAACGUGAAUCGUGCUGGGGAUAGAUGAUUGCAAUUAUUCAUCUUCAACGAGGAAUUCCUAGUAAACGCAAGUCAUCAGCUUGCAUUGAUUACGUCCCUGCCCUUUGUACACACCGCCCGUCGCACCUACCGAUUGAAUGGUCCGGUGAAAUCUUCGGAUCUGAGAGAUGUUGGAUUAAUUUCUGACGCCUUUUGGAAAAGUCGCUUAAACCUUAUCACUUAGAGGAAGGUGAAAUCGUAACA